This 262-nucleotide ribosomal RNA is filed under the name uncultured prokaryote. RNAcentral describes it as "partial 16S ribosomal RNA". It matches the Rfam family "Bacterial small subunit ribosomal RNA", at positions 524 to 784 of the family's 1533-position model. The record is from RNAcentral.
UACGUAGGGUGCGAGCGUUGUCCGGAAUUACUGGGCGUAAGGAGCUCGUAGGUGGUUUGUCACGUCGUCUGUGAAAUUCCGGGGCUUAACCUUGGGCGUACAGGCGAUACGGGCAAUACUUGAGUGCUGUAGGGGAGACUGGAAUUCCUGGUGUAGCGGUGAAAUGCGCAGAUAUCAGGAGGAACACCAAUGGCGAAGGCAGGUCUCUGGGCAGUUACUGACGCUGAGGAGCGAAAGCAUGGGUAGCGAACAGGAUUAGAUA